GAUGAACGAGGGCGGAGGGAAGAAUACAGACAAGUCGAGCGACCAGACGAGGAGCUUGCUCCUCUGACGUUAGCGGCGGACGGGUGAGUAACACGUGGAUAACCUACCUAUAAGACUGGGAUAACUUCGGGAAACCGGAGCUAAUACCGGAUAAUAUAUCGAACCGCAUGGUUCAAUAGUGAAAGACGGUUUUGCUGUCACUUAUAGAUGGAUCCGCGCCGCAUUAGCUAGUUGGUAAGGUAACGGCUUACCAAGGCAACGAUGCGUAGCCGACCUGAGAGGGUGAUCGGCCACACUGGAACUGAGACACGGUCCAGACUCCUACGGGAGGCAGCAGUAGGGAAUCUUCCGCAAUGGGCGAAAGCCUGACGGAGCAACGCCGCGUGAGUGAUGAAGGUCUUCGGAUCGUAAAACUGUGUGAUUAGGGAAGAACAAAUGUGUAAGUAACUAUGCACGUCUUGACGGUACCUAAUCAGAAAGCCACGGCUACCUACGUU
Molecule: ribosomal RNA, 497 nt
Filed under: uncultured bacterium
Lineage: Bacteria
Description: partial 16S ribosomal RNA
Rfam family: Bacterial small subunit ribosomal RNA
Source: RNAcentral